GAACUCUCAGUUCCUCCUGCACCAUGUCUGCUUGGGUGCUGCCUUGUUACUGCCUUCAUGAUAAUGGACUGAACCUCUGAACCUUUUUCAUAGACCAUGCCAAGAUUGUCAGACAAGAAAAACAAAUCUAUCUGAAAACCAAGUGAAGGAAAUGAUAUCUAUACUCCAGUGAUAUCUAUAAUGUCUUUAUUUGUCUUGACCAACUCUGAAAAGCAAGUUCGAGCUCAACCAUCCUAUGUGUCUGACUUCUGCUAAGUGUGGAGCAUCAUGCCAUCCCAAGUGCCUGUUAGAACUGAGUGGUGACACCAAUACAGA
RNAcentral lists this long non-coding RNA (315 nucleotides) under Mus caroli (Ryukyu mouse). RNAcentral describes it as "lncRNA (MGP_CAROLIEiJ_G0013737.1)". The record is from RNAcentral. Lineage: Eukaryota; Metazoa; Chordata; Mammalia; Rodentia; Muridae.